AAUCAACGCUGGCGGCGUGCCUAACACAUGCAAGUCGAACGCGAAAGGGGCUUCGGCCCUGAGUAGAGUGGCGAACGGGUGAGUAACACGUGGGUGAUCUACCUUCGAGUGGGGGAUAACGUUCCGAAAGGAGCGCUAAUACCGCAUGACGUUCUGGGUUUGAAGACCUGGAAACCAAAGCCGGGGACCGCAAGGCCUGGCGCUAGAAGAGGAGCCCGCGCCUGAUUAGCUAGUUGGUGAGGAAUGGCUCACCAAAGGCAACGAUCAGUAGCCGGCCUGAGAGGGCGGACGGCCACACUGGGACUGAGACACGGCCCAGACUCCUACGGGAGGCAGCAGUGGGGAAUUGUUCGCAAUGGGCGCAAGCCUGACGACGCAACGCCGCGU
RNAcentral lists this ribosomal RNA (387 nucleotides) under uncultured bacterium. RNAcentral's name for it is "bacterial SSU rRNA". It matches the Rfam family "Bacterial small subunit ribosomal RNA", at positions 29 to 402 of the family's 1533-position model. The record is from RNAcentral.